UUUUUCUGUUGCCAGGAAAAAAUAUUUUGUGUGGUCUGUCAGACAACCGUGUGACCACCCCACCACAGUUAAUGCGGUGAGAACGAUCCUCCACUGCCACAGAUGGGUGCCCCAAAGAGGACUCAAUCUGGACCAUUAAUCACGCCCUGAUCACACAGUCAUGAUUCAUCAACCAGACUUCGGUUCCUGUCUCCUUAGAACUCAAGGAUACAGUUGUACGAGCCUAUAGAACAGAUCCUGUUCAAGUAAGGUCGUGUCCUUUUAUUUCACUCUUUGAUUAUAUAAACGCUCUUGUCUUGCUAAGAACAAGCGAUGUCAGACUAACUUCGCAUCCCUUGUUAACCUCGUCAGGAACAGAUGGAAACCCUGAAAGCUAGUGAAAUCCGGGCCAUUAAUCACACACUGAUAACACGGUCGUGGUUCAUCGACCAUGUCUUUGGUUCCUUAAAACUCAAGGAUAAGCGAUACGAGCAUAUAGAACUGAUCUUUUUUUCCAAGUAUAAAAUUUUGUGUUCAUGUAUAUAUACACUUAUUUAGCUGCAUUCAUUAAGAAUGAUAUGUAAAAUGCUUGUAACCAUUCUGGAUUUUCUAAUAAAGUUGUAAGAUGUUUCUUACAUAGCAACAUUUA
Arachis ipaensis is the source of this 628-nucleotide non-coding RNA. The record is from RefSeq and is a predicted model, not a curated record. Lineage: Eukaryota; Viridiplantae; Streptophyta; Magnoliopsida; Fabales; Fabaceae.